AUUGAACGCUGGCGGCAUGCCUUACACAUGCAAGUCGAACGGCAGCACGGGAGCUUGCUCCUGGUGGCGAGUGGCGAACGGGUGAGUAAUACAUCGGAACGUACCCUGAAGUGGGGGAUAACGUAGCGAAAGUUACGCUAAUACCGCAUAUUCUGUGAGCAGGAAAGAGGGGGAUCGCAAGACCUCUUGCUUUAGGAGCGGCCGAUGUCGGAUUAGCUAGUUGGUGAGGUAAAGGCUCACCAAGGCGACGAUCCGUAGCGGGUCUGAGAGGAUGAUCCGCCACACUGGGACUGAGACACGGCCCGGACUCCUACGGGAGGCAGCAGUGGGGAAUUUUGGACAAUGGGCGCAAGCCUGAUCCAGCCAUGCCGCGUGAGUGAAGAAGGCCUC
RNAcentral lists this ribosomal RNA (390 nucleotides) under uncultured bacterium. Its description in RNAcentral is "bacterial SSU rRNA". It matches the Rfam family "Bacterial small subunit ribosomal RNA", at positions 30 to 418 of the family's 1533-position model. The record is from RNAcentral.